AUUCUUCUUGUCUGCUGCCAUAUGAGAUGUACCUUUCACCCUCCACCAUGAUUGUGAGGCCUCUCCAGCCACAUGGAACUCUCAUUGGAAUACAGUACAGAUGGCCUGGAUCAGUGCAAUGUGCAACAAGAGGACUAUAUCGUCUCAGUAAAAACCUUGAAGAGAUGAACCCAUUUCAGAGACCCAGCAAGGGAUCACCUGCAUAUACAGGCAUCAGCAGAAACAGGAAUUUGGGAUUUAUCCUGGAGGUAGUGGAAGCUUUUGGAGGUCUUAACCAGGACAGCACAUGUGGCUUUCCUGCAAUGGGAUCGUCCUUCAAGAGGACCUCACAGGCUCUCCACCCGGACUGUGACGUAAGCAGCUGCAGCAGCCUUGGAUGUUUCUGGAUAGCCAGCCCCAUGAGAACAGCUUUAAAAUAGGAGACUGGCAUUGUGAUGAAGUGUGGACUUCGCUGUCAUAUAGACCUGGAUUUAAAUCCUGGCUUCAGUGUUUAUGGAUGACGUUGGACAAGUCAUUUAACCUCCUUAAGUCUCAGAGUUCUCAUUACGGAAAUGGAGCUCUUAAUAGUACCUACCCCCUAGUGUGGUUGUGAGGGUUGAGAUCAUCUAUGUUCAAAGUGCUUAUUAUACAGAGACGGGGACAUGUAAGUGCUACAUAAAUGUUAGCUUUUAUUAGUCACUGGAGUGGAGGAGAGAGGACUGUUGCCUCCUUGUCAAUGUCCCCAUCCUGGGAAGCCUGCCUGUGUGCACCAAGGCCCAUCUGACCCAUAUAUCAGAAAAGGUGCCCUUCUAGGGAGCGACACCCCCCACCAAGCCCCCCAGUCGCUGUCCAUGCUUUCCUCUAGGUUCAAAAUGCAGCUGCAUCUGUGCAGAAACCAGGUGUUGCCUGUGAGUUCUGCCUCGCUGGCCAGAGGUGGAAGGAAGGAGGAAAGGAGAGGGGCCUCCAUACUUCCAGAGCCCCACUGGGGGUUACCUUCGCUUGCCCCCACUCUUUUUGUCUUGCUCUGAGGAUGCCAGGACUUUAAGGACAUUGUCAGCGAGCACAGAAAGAAUCUCAGUCAUCUGGACUGCUUUGUGCUAUAUGAAAAUCUCUGAGAACCUUCAAGAGCCCAAAAACAGUUCUCCUCCAUGCUGUAUGCCAUGGUCAGUGGUUAAAGAGAACAUUUUGUUCCACUCCUCCAGCUCUGCCUUAGAAACCCAAGCCCUGCACUCCAAGGCUCCUGGCAUCGUACACCAGCACCAGCAAUUUUCUGCCAAAAGCAUCAGCCAAAAUCUAUUCUAUCUAUUUCAGUUCCUCUCUUUUCAUCGGAUUGUAUUUUUACAGGUGAUUGCUGAUUCUCACACUGCUCUUCAGAUUCAUGUACAGCUGUGGUCUGAAUGUGUGUGUUUUCUCAAAAUUCAAGUUUAAAACUUAAUCCUCAAUGUGAUAGUAUCAACAGCUGCGGCCUUUUGGAAAGUGAAGGUGGAGCCCUCGUGAGUGGGAUUAGAGCUCUUAUAAAAGAGAUUGAAGGGAGCUACCUAGCCCUUCCAUCUCUUCUGCCUUGUGAGGACACAGUGUUCAUCCCUUUUGUCUUCCCACCAUUUGAAGAUGCAGAAAGAAGGUGCCAUCUUGGAAGCAAAGAGCAGCCCUCACCAGACACCAAGUCUGCUGGCACCUUGAUCUUGGACUUCCCAGCCUCCAGGACUGUGAGAAAUGAAUUUCUGUUGUUUAUAAAUUACCUAGUCUAAGGUAUGCUGUUACAGUAGCAGGAAUGGACUAAGACACACAUUGUCAAAAUCUUCAUGAGUUAAAGGUGAAGGUACAAUCAGAACUGGUGCAUGGAAUUGGAACCAUAGGUCUUAGUAAACACUGUAAAAAUGCACUAUUCAAAUCUACAGAAAAUGCUCUCUCUUCAAGUUCAGAAAGAAGCUACAAUCUGCUUUUCCUUUUUUUCUGAAGGGAAGUAAAAUUCUAUGUUUCUGGACUAAGAGGUCUACACCCCAGUCUUUCUCUUUCUGACAUGUAUAGUAAUCUUUGGCAAAUUACUCAAGCUUUCUUUGUUCUGGUGAAAAUAAAGUGCACAGGACAGUAUUACUAAGAGGCCUGAGCAACAUUAGAGGUUGAUAACGAUGGUUCCAAAGGCCUUUAAGAAGGUGUAAUGCUAUGUGGAUGUUUUUAUUGAAACCUUCCCUGGGUUUUCAGAAUUCUCUUUGGAAUUAGUCCUGUGGGAAUAUGCCUUUUGGGAUCUAUUCUCACCUCUUAUUCAGUCCCCCUUUUCUUGCAUUACAAUCUACAAUUUGAAGUUAUUCUGUCAUUUAAAAAUUAGGUCCAUGACCUCAUCAUCACCGGGUUUUCCUCU
This 2338-nucleotide long non-coding RNA is filed under the name Homo sapiens (human). RNAcentral's name for it is "HSALNT0348877". Lineage: Eukaryota; Metazoa; Chordata; Mammalia; Primates; Hominidae. The record is from RNAcentral.